Small nucleolar RNA from Acomys russatus (golden spiny mouse), 128 nucleotides. RefSeq annotates it as small nucleolar RNA SNORA17. The transcript has a single exon. The record is from RefSeq and is a predicted model, not a curated record. Lineage: Eukaryota; Metazoa; Chordata; Mammalia; Rodentia; Muridae.
CCUGCUUAUAGAGGCAUUGCAGGUAUGGCUGCUGUGCCACGUGUCAGUAGGUGGCAGAGGCGGGAGAGGCUAUGUCUAUGCUUAGUGUUCUGACCUGGGACCAUCUGGAUGAUUAGUAGCCUAACACU